GCCACCUUUAGUCUUGUGAUGAAGCAAAGCUCAGGAAGAAGUGUGAUUAAAUGGUACCCACAUGUGUGCUGCUGAGAAGGAUGGACAGGGGCACCUGCAGCCAAAUCCAAGCCUCCUCAGAGCAGAGCGGCAGUUUGUGCUCACAGAUGGUGACGGUGUGGAGAGACGGUGGUGUUUCCUCAGAAGAACUAGCAGAGUCACAAAGGGCACGAGUCCAUCUCACCACCUUGACUUGCUGACUGAUGCUCGUCUGCACUGCACAGAGGAAAUCAACUGACCGAGGAGUGUUUCUGAGUGAGGGAGAGAGGAGUCAUCAUCCAGGUAAAGUGACGUGGAUCAGUGGACACACUUGUCUCCGCUUUAAAGGAGCCACUCUUAGAGAGAGACGAUCCGAGUCAUCCUUAAAUAUGGGCAGGAUAUCAGUCUUGGACUGUCUAACCUGCCGGAGCAGCACUGAAUAACCACCACACAUGAGCAUGUUCCUGCAACAUUCAGCAUCUGAUCUGCCAUCUGUGUGCUUCUGUUUUUGGUAAGUAGAGUUACCUAACUACAGUAACUAUAAACACAUGCCAUCCAUUUCUAACGGCCUGGUUACUUCCUGUCAGUUAUUUUAGAAACCAUGUGGUCACCUGACCUAACACUGUUUCUUCUUCUUCCCCUUAAUGUUGAAAUGUCAAAUGUCAA
Oreochromis aureus is the source of this 684-nucleotide long non-coding RNA. The record is from Ensembl. Lineage: Eukaryota; Metazoa; Chordata; Actinopteri; Cichliformes; Cichlidae.